Molecule: ribosomal RNA, 774 nt
Filed under: Brevundimonas sp. MYb61
Lineage: Bacteria; Pseudomonadati; Pseudomonadota; Alphaproteobacteria; Caulobacterales; Caulobacteraceae
Description: bacterial SSU rRNA
Rfam family: Bacterial small subunit ribosomal RNA
Source: RNAcentral
GAACUCUUCGGAGUUAGUGGCGGACGGGUGAGUAACACGUGGGAACGUGCCUUUUGGUUCGGAAUAACUCAGGGAAACUUGUGCUAAUACCGAAUGUGCCCUUCGGGGGAAAGAUUUAUCGCCAUUAGAGCGGCCCGCGUCUGAUUAGCUAGUUGGUGAGGUAACGGCUCACCAAGGCGACGAUCAGUAGCUGGUCUGAGAGGAUGAUCAGCCACACUGGGACUGAGACACGGCCCAGACUCCUACGGGAGGCAGCAGUGGGGAAUCUUGCGCAAUGGGCGAAAGCCUGACGCAGCCAUGCCGCGUGAAUGAUGAAGGUCUUAGGAUUGUAAAAUUCUUUCACCGGGGACGAUAAUGACGGUACCCGGAGAAGAAGCCCCGGCUAACUUCGUGCCAGCAGCCGCGGUAAUACGAAGGGGGCUAGCGUUGCUCGGAAUUACUGGGCGUAAAGGGCGCGUAGGCGGAUCGUUAAGUCAGGGGUGAAAUCCCGGGGCUCAACCUCGGAAUUGCCCUUGAUACUGGCGAUCUUGAGUAUGAGAGAGGUAUGUGGAACUCCGAGUGUAGAGGUGAAAUUCGUAGAUAUUCGGAAGAACACCAGUGGCGAAGGCGACAUACUGGCUCAUUACUGACGCUGAGGCGCGAAAGCGUGGGGAGCAAACAGAUUAAUACCCUGUAGUCCCGCCGUAACGAUGAUUGCUAUUGUCGGCUGCAUGCAUUCGUGACGCACUACGCAUAAGCAUCCCCUGGGAGUACGUCGCAGAUAAACUCAAGAUU